GCGCCCUUCGGGGCGAGCGGCGGACGGAUUAUUAACGAGGCCCAUUGUACCCAGAUCUACGGAAUAGCCUCGGGAAACUGAGAGUAAUACCGUAUACGCCCUUCGGGGGAAAGAUUUAUCGGAUUUGGAUCAGCCCGCGUUAGAUUAGAUAGUUGGUGGGGUAAUGGCCUACCAAGUCUACGAUCUAUAGCUGGUUUUAGAGGAUGAUCAGCAACACUGGGACUGAGACACGGCCCAGACUCCUACGGGAGGCAGCAGUGGGGAAUCUUAGACAAUGGGCGCAAGCCUGAUCUAGCCAUGCCGCGUGUGUGAUGAAGGCCUUAGGGUCGUAAAGCAGUUUCGCCAGAGAUGAUAAUGACAGUAUCUGGUAAAGAAACCCCGGCUAACUCCGUGCCACCGCCCGCGGUAAUACGGAGGGGGUU
This 422-nucleotide ribosomal RNA is filed under the name Primorskyibacter sp. RNAcentral's name for it is "bacterial SSU rRNA". It matches the Rfam family "Bacterial small subunit ribosomal RNA", at positions 68 to 535 of the family's 1533-position model. Lineage: Bacteria; Pseudomonadati; Pseudomonadota; Alphaproteobacteria; Rhodobacterales; Roseobacteraceae. The record is from RNAcentral.